This 3657-nucleotide long non-coding RNA is filed under the name Salmo salar (Atlantic salmon). Its description in RNAcentral is "lncRNA (ENSSSAG00000119556.1)". The record is from RNAcentral. Lineage: Eukaryota; Metazoa; Chordata; Actinopteri; Salmoniformes; Salmonidae.
GUGACCUCAACACAUACUCAGAUAUAGAGACAUAUAUAUACACACAUGAACAGUCACAUAGUCAAACAAAUAACACCCUUACAUUCACACACGCAGACACACACACAUACACACACAUACACACACAGUUCUCAUCCAAACUAAGACCGGUAGCAUCCUUACAUACAUCUGAGACCAUGGUUUGGGAGAACAGAUGUCUUAAGAAAGGUGUUUAAAAAAACAAAAUCAACAAUUGUAAUGUGAGUUGCUUCUCUCAACAGUCAGAGACAGUGAGUGUCAUUCACACAACAGCACAGCGUUAGAUCCAUACUCUCUGGGAGAACAACAAUGGUGUGUUCAGGAGGAAGAAAUGUUCUGAAUACUGCAGAUAGAACUGUCAUGAUAGAACUGUCAUGAUAGAACUGACAUGAUAGAACUGUCAUGAUGGAACUGUCAUGUUAGAACUGUCAUGAUAGAACUGUAAUGAUGGAACUGACAUGAUAGAACUGUCCUGAUAGAACUGUCAUGUUAGAACUGACAUGAUAGAACUGUCAUGAUAGAACUGUCAUGAGCGUCUUAUAAAGAGCUGACAUGAUUUCCUAUUAUACAAGUUUAUUAUUGCUAUUUGUAGGUAAAGAAUAUGUAGUAUAUUGGAGUGUCACAACAGUGAAGCAUGUCUGUUCUCUAUAAUACAUUUAUAUCUACAUUGUUGUAUAACGGAGUCCCCUGAAUGGUGGACACUACAACCACUAAAACCUUUACUAGUCAACAGCAGCACUGAAACCUUUAUGCUAAGUGAAUAUCUUUGUCACGGAGCCACACACCAGUCCAAACUAUCUCUGUGAAACUUUAUUUUGUCACCGUUUUGAGUAAGCGGGUGUUAAAUUCAAUGUUGUGUCAACGUUGUAGGGAUAACGCUCACUGUCUCACAUCGGACCUCACAGAUGAUUUCACUUCUGACUCUGGUGACAUGGGUGUUGUCCCAAAUGACAUCCUUAACCCUACCGUGCCCUUCUUUUGAUCAGAGAUUUACAUUUUGGGGCACUAUAUAAGGAAAAGGAUAUAAUUUGGGACACUACCAUACCGCCUGACUCCUUGGCUUUUGUGUUGGGUUGAUUGUUGGUUUGUGUUUCUAUAAUGGAGGUGUGGAUUUUGUAGCUCUUGGAUUAUGAUGUUUAGAAGAUACAUUUUUCUAUUCACUCACCUAACAUGAAUUUCAGAGUGAACAUUAAGAAAAGGAGAAACAAAAAAUAGUAGAUCCUCUCAAAAGGAAAUCUGAACAAAACACGAAUAUUUGCUUUUUAUAUUAAUCACAAGCAAUGUAUAUAUAUGAUAGUUUUCAUAUACAUUUUUGAAAAUCAAAAAUUCUAUAGAUAUAUAUAUAUAUAUAUGAAUGUUUGGCAUAUAUGCAUAGUUAACCACCUAGGAAAAAAGGUGUGAUCCGAUUUUUAUUAUUUUCUAUGAACUAGGAGAUGAUUUGCACAAAACAAGGUGCUAGCAUUACAGCCACCCAUCAUUACAGUGCAUGUAUGCUGUGACUGGAGGAACACCCUGACUCUCUGUACACAACCCCCUCUCUGCUGUGUGUGUGUGUGUGUGGUAGUGUGUGUAUGUAUGUGUGCUGGGUGUGUAUGUGUGUGGUAGGUGGUAGGUGUGCGUGUAAGUUGUUCAAACCCUCAAAGGUGGUCCGCUGUAGCCUUAAUUACAUCAGAGAUUCCUGGCAGUGGCUGUGUCACACACGUGGUGCACACACUGAAAUCCAGAUGUAUAAUCAUUACAGGACCCUUUGAUAUCUAUUAGAGAGAGAGAGAGAGAAUAUACUGGGGAGAACUUCAAUUUUUAUUUAUUACAUUCUGUCUGUUCCUGUGUAGCCCCUGUCUGUGUGUGUGGGGGAAUCGGCAGUGGGCAGGGUUUGGGCUGUGGCUUUAAUGGGAGACAGAGACACAGACAAUUACAGUAUUACCAUUUGCUCUACAACACCUCUCUAUGACUCUGUCCAUGACCAGAAGCACUGGCCCUCUGCUCCCCGUUUCAUCCAGUUAUACACUCUGUCCUCUUUUCCCUUUUCAGACGUUCAGAGUUUUUAAGGGUAUGCUAUGAUGAGGUGAUUUUGAAGAGGACUGACAACAAAAAAACAAAGAAGGAAAAACGUGCCAAAAAAUAAACUUUCAAUGGUAUAUUUUUCUUCUUCCUUAGUACUACCUUAGUCUGGAUGUUGUUGAGCUGUUACUCACUAAUAUGGUGCCAUCUCCUGGGAAUCUUGAGAACUACAGACAUUCAUUUAGCUUCACUGUCUGGACACAACCUUUUUGGAGUGGAACUGCAGACGUUUUUAUGUUUUGUAAAGGAAUAUAUAUAUAAACUGAAAAAUGGAUUUUAUGAGCUUGCAUUAUUAACAUUUAUAUUUAUAUUUUUGAGACAAGGUAUCAAAGUAUUGUUUGGUUUAACUGUGAUGAGUUAUACAGCUUGUCUAACUGAUGCUGAGAGAUGCUGACAUGGGUUUACACACAGCACAUACAUACACACAUACUGUACACACAUGCAGGCAUGCACGUGUGCUCAUAUACACAGUGCAGCUUGGACUCCAGUUGCUUUCCUGGUUAGGAAAGAAUCUAGUGAUGGAGAACCUAGUUGGACCCCUCAGUGGGUUGACCACAGGUAGCUUAUACAGAUGCAAACACAUGCUACAGGACACAGAGAGCUGAGGCAGACACGUCAUUCACACCAAUGAGUUUCUCUGUACGGUCGACUUCAUCUUCUUUUCUAAUCAACAAAGCACAAUCUACAUGGUGAGACGGAGUCGUGAUUCCUAUUGUUUAAUCCAGGGGGAUCUGGUAGACCCACCACUGGAUCAAAUGAUCUUAUCAUCAUUCAAAGGGGUUUUUCUUUCAUUGUUGAUUUUCUCCUUGUUUGCACUGUGAAGUUUAACAGGGUGGAUCUAUUACAGGCCAUGUCUGGACCAUGCCUGGCCCAUCUAAACAUCCCCUCCUCUUGAUCCCCCAGGCAUCCCAUAUCUUCUUCAAGACACUGAACUCCACACAGAACUGUAGCUUAGCUGAAACUAAUGAUGAACACAAUGUCAACCUCAGUAGAUUUAUGUUAUUCAAUAGUUUAGCAUUGUUGAAUGAAUCCUGACAGCAUAUGUCACAUGUGGUAGGAGGUGAAAAUGUGAAAGGUCAGAUCGCUAGCUAACUAGAAUAAAAUAGUAGCGUUCACUUUGGUGCUAUAUAUGUACAGAUUUUCGCCAGACAGUGUUACUGUGACUAUUUUAAGAUACAGUUCUAUGUAAUCUCAGAUACAGCAAGGGCAUACUCAAGUGUAAUUUUCCUGCUGAAAUUCAAAUGGUCUGUAGAGAGGGAAACACCUAGGCUACCUGCUUCUAACUAGCAUCUGAGUGUCUACUCCCAAACGCACCGUGCUGAAAGGUGUGUGGGUAUAGACUUGGAAUAGAAGAGAGGACACACUGGCCAUUGAGUAGAUGUCUGGAAAAAGAACAACAUUAAAAAAAAAAUUAAACACGUUACGGUUAGUUGCACCAUUGACAAGAACCCUUUUCACCCAGAGGCAUGGUUCUCUUAUCAUCCAUAAGGGAACAUAUAGAGAAGGGAGGCGGGGUAGUGAGGCUGAGGCAGGUCCAGAGACCUGAGUGCUGUGAUGGCUCCACCACAGAGAUCUAUG